This is a non-coding RNA of Ictidomys tridecemlineatus (thirteen-lined ground squirrel), 1691 nucleotides long. The record is from RefSeq and is a predicted model, not a curated record. Lineage: Eukaryota; Metazoa; Chordata; Mammalia; Rodentia; Sciuridae.
AAGAGGUUUAAGAAGCUUCAUGUAUUCUUCUGCAAAACUACUUACUUUACAAAAAAAUAAAUCAAAUAAUCAGCUUGAGAUGCAAACAUAUAAUGCUAAUGAUAGCAGUAAACCUGCUGCAGGCUUGAACAGAAAACAAAAGCCCCAGAAAUUUCCUUCCUAUUUUGCGCCCCCAACAAGCUUCUUUUUUAAAGACCUAACAAAAGAUCUAAAACAGUUCUGUGACUUUUCUGCAGGUUUUAAGAUUCCUGCAGCAGCAACCUCAUUCAAAGUGAAGAAGGAUAUGGAAGAAAGAGAGGCAUCUUGAAGCUCAGGUUAAGUGAAGAAAAAACUGCCUGUAGGGCAUGCAGGAAGGAACUGCAGAUGGGCCCCUGGGGCAGCACCCAGGGAAGUGGUGGUGAAUAUUUAAGUAAGAAGAAGAAAUGGAAUUUGUUCCAAACUGUUUAAAGCUCUGUAUCUACAGAACUAGAGCGGGGAGUGAAGGGCUCUUGGGAAGAUUUCCUCUAGAAAAAAUAGGUUUGAGCUUUGUCUAAAGAGGAAAAUUAGAAGGUUCUCUAGCAAACGCAAGGGAAGGAAUUUAAAACCCCUUGGAAGGAUCUGCAGCUAUCAAAUUGGAUGAAGUUUUCUCAUACAUGGAGGCUCUCUGCCUCAGCUGGAUUGCCACAGGAGGCUGGGGAAAAGGUACUUUUCAGUAAGUCUGGAGAUGACUGGGUGGUGGCAUCGCAAGUUUGGAGAACGAGGAGUUCCCUUCUAAAAGCUAAAGAGACUUUUGUGAAACAACCGGGAGGAUGAGAAGGGAUUCCUCGCAAAGUCGGGAGUCUGGAGACUCCAGAGGCCUGAACUAAUUUCUGAGGAGUUGGGUUUCUCGGGUGUGGCCUCCGGAGGAGACAGCAAGGCACCUUGUGUAACAAUGCCACAUUUCACUUGUUGGACGUGGGGAAUCCGCCCUAUGACUGAGAAUAAAGGCCCCCGUCGUCACUAACGGGAAGCCUGGAACCGUGUCUAAAAGGGUGUGCCUGCAGCAAUUUGGGAGGAAAUGCCACACGCACCCCAGGCCCGGGACCAGGGACAGUAAUACUUUGUCACUAAGCCAACAGGAGAAGCAAAGGAGCGUUUGAAAAGAACACCACCGCUCCCAACUCACUGGAAAGUUGGAGGAAAGUGAGGAACUCUGGAGAGUUGGGAAAUGAUUUGAAAGCAACCCAACUGGAAGCUGGGAUAAAACCAGAAAAACUGAGCAUGCUAAAGGUGCUCAAUGACAAAUGUGUUGGAUUGGAGUGAAGACCCCUCCCUUGGGGGAUUCCAUACCUCAAGACCUCUUUCCUCUGGAAAAACUAAAACUGUCCAGUGAAAGUUCACCUCUUGAAAUCAAGACAACUUGAGACCAGUACCACCUUUACCACUUGCCAGCCGUGUGACCUGGGAUAAUUUGUUUCAGAUCUCCAAAUUUCACUUUCCUUUUAUAAAUAUGAUCCAUCUCACACAUUCAAGAAAAAAAAAGUGUGGAAGGUUUCAGAGAAACAAGACGCUUCAAGUUUCUGAUAUAGUUUGAAAGAAAAGAUAAAGCCAGAUCACCCUAUGGUAAGAAUUUUCUUGUAUAAAACAAUAUGAAUUUCACCCCUUGGAAAAAUGUGUUUGGGCUUUAAAAUCUAUGUAACAAACAUCCCCAGAAGAAUGCUUUGUUUUAUUAA